AAACGAUGCCACCAGUAAUUCGCCUGAGUUCCUUAAAUGACUCGGCGAGGGACUUCCGGGAAACCAAAGUCUUUCGGUUCCAGGGGAAGUAUGGUUGCAAAGCUGAAACUUAAAGAAAUUGACGGAAGGGCACCACCAGGAGUGGAGCCUGCGGCUUAAUUUGACUCAACACGGGAAAACUCACCCGGCCCGGACACUGGAAGGAUUGACAGAUUGAGAGCUCUUUCUUGAUUCAGUGGGUGGUGGUGCAUGGCCGUUCUUAGUUGGUGGAGUGAUUUGUCUGGUUAAUUCCGAUAACGAACGAGACUCUAGCCUACUAAAUAGAUCGUCGGCUUACAAACGCCGACGAGACUUCUUAGAGGGACAGGCGGUGAUUCAACCGCACGAAACAGAGCAAUAACAGGUCUGUGAUGCCCUUAGAUGUCCGGGGCCGCACGCGCGCUACACUGAAGUGAUCAGCGUUGCUUUUUCAACCUACUCUGUCAAGAGUGGGGGAACCCAAUGAACCUUCUUUCGUUGAUUGGGAUAGGGGAUUGUAAUUAUUCCCCUUGAACGAGGAAUUCCCAGUAAGCGCGAGUCAUAAGCUCGCGUUGAUUACGUCCCUGCCCUUUGUACACACCGCCCGUCGCUACUACCGAUUGAAUGUUUUAAGUGGAGGUCUUCGGACUGGCCGGUGCAGCUACUUCUUGUAGUGGCAGCGCUGUGUUUGAAAGAUGCCAACUUGGACCAUUAGAGGAAGUAAGUCGUAACAGGUUUCGUAAGUGACUGCGAGAUCAGGCGAAUUCGUUACUGCAGACAUGUCUAUGGAGUAUUCACUGUGUCGUAGUACGCAAGCU
Molecule: ribosomal RNA, 836 nt
Filed under: uncultured eukaryote
Lineage: Eukaryota
Description: bacterial SSU rRNA
Rfam family: Eukaryotic small subunit ribosomal RNA
Source: RNAcentral